GGAGGAGAUCAACAGGGAUUGCCUUAGUAACGGCGAGUGAAGCGGCAACAGCUCAAAUUUGAAAUCUGGCUCUUUUAGAGUCCGAGUUGUAAUUUGCAGAGGGCGCUUUGGCGUUGGCAGCGGUCCAAGUUCCUUGGAACAGGACGUCACAGAGGGUGAGAAUCCCGUACGUGGUCGCUAGCCAUCACCGUGUAAAGCCCCUUCGACGAGUCGAGUUGUUUGGGAAUGCAGCUCUAAAUGGGAGGUAAAUUUCUUCUAAAGCUAAAUACUGGCCAGAGACCGAUAGCGCACAAGUAGAGUGAUCGAAAGAUGAAAAGCACUUUGGAAAGAGAGUCAAAUAGCACGUGAAAUUGUUGAAAGGGAAGCGCUUGCAGCCAGACUUGCCUGUAGUUGCUCAUCCGGGCUUUUGCCCGGUGCACUCUUCUGCGGGCAGGCCAGCAUCAGUUUGGGCGGUUGGAUAAAGGUCUCUGUCAUGUACCUCUCUUCGGGGAGAACUUAUAGGGGAGACGACAUACAACCAGCCUGGACUGAGGUCCGCGCAUUUGCUAGGAUGCUGGCGUAAUGGCUGUAAGCGGCCCGUCUUGAAACACGGACCAAGGAGUCUAACAUCUAUGCGAGUGUUUGGGUGUCAAGCCCGAGCGCGUAAUGAAAGUGAACGGAGGUGGGACCCCUUUUAGGGUGCACCAUCGACCGAUCCUGAUGUCUUCGGAUGGAUUUGAGUAAGAGCAUGGCUGUUGGGACCCGAAAGAUGGUGAACUAUGCUUGAAUAGGGUGAAGCCAGAGGAAACUCUGGUGGAGGCUCGCAGCGGUUCUGACGUGCAAAUCGAUCGU
Molecule: ribosomal RNA, 831 nt
Filed under: Phaeosphaeriaceae sp.
Lineage: Eukaryota; Fungi; Ascomycota; Dothideomycetes; Pleosporales; Phaeosphaeriaceae
Description: eukaryotic LSU rRNA
Rfam family: Eukaryotic large subunit ribosomal RNA
Source: RNAcentral